This 330-nucleotide ribosomal RNA is filed under the name Yersinia enterocolitica. RNAcentral's name for it is "partial 23S ribosomal RNA". It matches the Rfam family "Bacterial large subunit ribosomal RNA", at positions 1 to 367 of the family's 2925-position model. The record is from RNAcentral. Lineage: Bacteria; Pseudomonadati; Pseudomonadota; Gammaproteobacteria; Enterobacterales; Yersiniaceae.
GGUUAAGCGACUAAGCGUACACGGUGGAUGCCUAGGCAGUCAGAGGCGAUGAAGGGCGUGCUAAUCUGCGAAAAGCGUCGGUAAGGUGAUAUGAACCGUUAUAACCGACGAUACCCGAAUGGGGAAACCCAGUGCAAUUCGUUGCACUAUUGCAUGGUGAAUACAUAGCCAUGCAAGGCGAACCGGGGGAACUGAAACAUCUAAGUACCCCGAGGAAAAGAAAUCAACCGAGAUUCCCCCAGUAGCGGCGAGCGAACGGGGAGGAGCCCAGAACCUGAAUCAGCGUAUGUGUUAGUGGAAGCGUCUGGAAAGUCGCACGGUACAGGGUGA